RNAcentral lists this ribosomal RNA (622 nucleotides) under uncultured Pseudomonadota bacterium. Its description in RNAcentral is "bacterial SSU rRNA". It matches the Rfam family "Bacterial small subunit ribosomal RNA", at positions 31 to 698 of the family's 1533-position model. Lineage: Bacteria; Pseudomonadati; Pseudomonadota. The record is from RNAcentral.
GUACGCUGGCGGCACGCCUAACACAUGCAAGUCGAACGAAGUAGCAAUACUUAGUGGCAGACGGGUGAGUAACAUGUGGGUCUCUGCCCUUUGGCCUGGAAUAACACGAGGAAACUUGUGCUAAUACCGGAUAAGUCUUUACGGAGAAAGCUUUAUGCACCAUUGGAUGAGCCCGCACUUGAUUAGUUAGUUGGUAGGGUAAUGGCCUACCAAGACUGUGAUCAAUAGCUGAUUUGAGAGGAUGAUCAGCCACAUUGGGACUGAGACACGGCCCAAACUCCUACGGGAGGCAGCAGUGGGGAAUCUUGCACAAUGGAGGAAACUCUGAUGCAGCGAUGCCGCGUGAGUGAAGAAGGCCCUUGGGUUGUAAAGCUCCUUCGUCGGGGAAGAAAAUGACUGUACCCGAAUAAGAAGGUCCGGCUAACUUCGUGCCAGCAGCCGCGGUAAUACGAAGGGACCUAGCGUAGUUCGGAAUUACUGGGCUUAAAGAGUUCGUAGGUGGUUGAAAAAGUUGGUGGUGAAAUCCCAGAGCUUAACUCUGGAACUGCCAUCAAAACUUUUCAGCUAGAGUAUGAUAGAGGAAAGCAGAAUUUCUAGUGUAGAGGUGAAAUUCGUAGAUAUU